RNAcentral lists this ribosomal RNA (500 nucleotides) under uncultured bacterium. RNAcentral describes it as "partial 16S ribosomal RNA". It matches the Rfam family "Bacterial small subunit ribosomal RNA", at positions 30 to 523 of the family's 1533-position model. The record is from RNAcentral.
AUUGAACGCUGGCGGCAUGCCUUACACAUGCAAGUCGAACGGUAACGGGUCCUUCGGGAUGCCGACGAGUGGCGAACGGGUGAGUAAUAUAUCGGAACGUGCCCAGUAGUGGGGGAUAACUGCUCGAAAGAGCAGCUAAUACCGCAUACGACCUGAGGGUGAAAGGGGGGGAUCGCAAGACCUCUCGCUAUUGGAGCGGCCGAUAUCAGAUUAGCUAGUUGGUGGGGUAAAGGCCUACCAAGGCAACGAUCUGUAGUUGGUCUGAGAGGACGACCAGCCACACUGGGACUGAGACACGGCCCAGACUCCUACGGGAGGAAGCAGUGGGGAAUUUUGGACAAUGGGCGCAAGCCUGAUCCGGCAAUGCCGCGUGCAGGAAGAAGGACUUCGGGUUGUAAACUGCUUUUGUCAGGGAAGAAAUCUUCUGGGCUAAUACCCCGGGAGGAUGAUGGUACCUGAAGAAUAAGCACCGGCUAACUACGUGCCAGCCGCCGCCGUAA